This 585-nucleotide ribosomal RNA is filed under the name uncultured bacterium. RNAcentral describes it as "partial 16S ribosomal RNA". It matches the Rfam family "Bacterial small subunit ribosomal RNA", at positions 355 to 1375 of the family's 1533-position model. The record is from RNAcentral.
UGGGGAAUUUUGGACAAUGGGCGAAAGCCUGAUCCAGCAAUGCCGCGUGUGUGAGGAAGGCCUUCGGGUUGUAAAGCACUUUUGUCCGGAAAGAAAUCCUUGGCUCUAAUACAGUCGGGGGAUGACGGUACCGGAAGAAUAAGCACCGGCUAACUACGUGCCAGCAGCCGCGGUAAUACGUAGGGUGCAAGCGUUAAUCGGAAUUACUGGGCGUAAAGCGUGCGCAGGCGGUUUGCUAAGACCGAUGUGAAAUCCCCGGGCUCAACCUGGGAACUGCAUUGGUGACUGGCAGGCUAGAGUAUGGCAGAGGGGGGUAGAAUUCCACGUGUAGCAGUGAAAUGCGUAGAGAUGUGGAGGAAUACCGAUGGCGAAGGCAGCCCCCUGGGCCAAUACUGACGCUCAUGCACGAAAGCGUGGGGAGCAAACAGGAUUAGAUACCCUGGUAGUCCACGCCCUAAACGAUGUCAACUAGUUGUUGGGGAUUCAUUUCCUUAGUAACGUAGCUAACGCGUGAAGUUGACCGCCUGGGGAGUACGGUCGCAAGAUUAAAACUCAAAGGAAUUGACGGGGUCAUAGCUGUUUCCU